Molecule: long non-coding RNA, 141 nt
Organism: Bombina bombina (fire-bellied toad)
Lineage: Eukaryota; Metazoa; Chordata; Amphibia; Anura; Bombinatoridae
Exons: 3
Source: RefSeq, a predicted model, not a curated record
AAUGGGGUAAGUGGGUUCCCAAUUGGAGACGUGCAGACAUAACUUGGUGGUGACUUUACAACCACCUGAUACUAAUCUAAAAUAGGAACAAUACUUAAGCAUUUAGCCCCUGUGACAUUAUACCAGGUGUUUCCAGCUGGC